UGGGGAAUCUUGGACAAUGGGGGCAACCCUGAUCCAGCCAUGCCGCGUGAGUGAUGAAGGCCUUAGGGUCGUAAAGCUCUUUCGCCUGUGAAGAUAAUGACGGUAGCAGGUAAAGAAACCCCGGCUAACUCCGUGCCAGCAGCCGCGGUAAUACGGAGGGGGUUAGCGUUGUUCGGAAUUACUGGGCGUAAAGCGCACGUAGGCGGACCAGAAAGUUGGGGGUGAAAUCCCGGGGGCUCAACCCCGGAACUGCCUCCAAAACUAUUGGUCUAGAGUUCGAGAGAGGUGAGUGGAAUUCCAAGUGUAGAGGUGAAAUUCGUAGAUAUUUGGAGGAACACCAGUGGCGAAGGCGGCUCACUGGCUCGAUACUGACGCUGAGGUGCGAAAGUGUGGGGAGCAAACAGGAUUAGAUACCCUGGGUAGUCCACACCGUAAAACGAUGAAUGCCAGUCGUCGGGUAGCAUGCUAUUCGGUGACAC
This 479-nucleotide ribosomal RNA is filed under the name uncultured bacterium. RNAcentral describes it as "bacterial SSU rRNA". It matches the Rfam family "Bacterial small subunit ribosomal RNA", at positions 355 to 849 of the family's 1533-position model. The record is from RNAcentral.